RNAcentral lists this long non-coding RNA (1108 nucleotides) under Homo sapiens (human). RNAcentral describes it as "HSALNT0184567". Lineage: Eukaryota; Metazoa; Chordata; Mammalia; Primates; Hominidae. The record is from RNAcentral.
CCAUUGUCUUGUCCAAUGGCCACUUGCCCCACUGCAGGUGCUGCUGGAAAAGUCAACUCGAUGGGUGGCAGAGUUCUGCCUCUUGAAGUUGACAGCACUGCAAGGAGUGGAAUCUGGAUUCCUCAAGACUGCAAAAAGGCCUAGGCCUCCAGACUGACUCUACUCUCCAGCAGACCUCUUGUGUGAGUUCCCAAGAUGGCUGCAGCACUCCUGAGGCUAUAUCCCUCAUGUCUAGCAGGAAAUAAGUCCACUUCUCUGAUGGUUCAAAAAAGAGUUUCAGAAUUGAGUCUCAGUGACUCUGAUUGCCCUGCCUUGCAUUAUUUACUCAUCCUUGAGCCAAUCACUGCAGCCGGGAAGAUGGGAUGUGCUGACUGGAUUAAAGAAAUCAGGACCCUUUCCUAGAGAUGGAAUGUGGUCAAUCUCACCCAAACCGUGAGGUUGGAGAUUUCAGAGCAGUGUUAAAAAGGACAAGGGAGGACUGCACAGUAGGGAGUUGAUUAACAAGUAUCCAGAGAAGCAGGGGACAGACAGAGUUAGGAGUGGCUCCCAGGUCUUUGGCCUGAACAUCUUAGACAGAAACGUACAAAGAGAAGGGAGCACUUCAGGGAGAUCAGUUAGAAUAAGAAAUAUAGUGAGACGUAGCCACCAACUGGCCAUUGAUUGUCUUGCAUUGAAGCAGCAGUUUCAGUGAAGUAGUGGGAACAGAUACCAGGUUGCAGUAGGAAAGGAAUCAAUGAAGGGAGCAGGUAAUGUUAGGGAAACUCCGCAUUCUUCGAAGAGAUUUAAAACUAGAGGACAGGAGAGAGAUAGAAGUAAUAGUUAAAGGGGUCCCUGAGGUCAAGGGAUUUUUUUUCAAGAUUUGAGCAUGCUUAAAUGCUAAGAAUGAUAACUGAAGAAAAUAUGAGAACAAGGUUGAAGCUAUAGCAGAGAAAUGGGAAAAAUUAAUUGAGAUCCCUAGGAAUAAUGAGAAGAGGGAUCAAGAGUACAGCUAGAAUCAUUCGUUUUGUAGAGUAAGGGACCUAUUCACUUUAAUCAACUGGAAAGAUGCAAGGGAUGGAACGUAUUUCUGCACCUGUGAGCCGAGAGUGAAUUCAGAAACUAGAGGGAG